GAUUUGAUUCUUCGGAUGAAGAUCUUGGUGACUGAGUGGCGGACGGGUGAGUAACGCGUGGGUAACCUGCCUCAUACAGGGGGAUAACAGUUAGAAAUGACUGCUAAUACCGCAUAAGACCACAGCACCGCAUGGUGCAGGGGCAAAAACUCCGGUGGUAUGAGAUGGACCCGCGUCUGAUUAGGUAGUUGGUGGGGUAACGGCCUACCAAGCCGACGAUCAGUAGCCGACCUGAGAGGGUGACCGGCCACAUUGGGACUGAGACACGGCCCAAACUCCUACGGGAGGUAGCAGUGGGGAAUAUUGCACAAUGGGGGAAACCCUGAUGCAGCGACGCCGCGUGAGCGAUGAAGUAUUUCGGUAUGUAAAGCUCUAUCAGCAGGGAAGAAAAUGACGGUACCUGACUAAGAAGCACCGGCUAAAUACGUGCCAGCAGCCGCGGUAAUACGUAUGGUGCAAGCGUUAUCCGGAUUUACUGGGUGUAAAGGGAGCGUAGACGGAGUGGCAAGUCUGAUGUGAAAACCCGGGGCUCAACCCCGGGACUGCAUUGGAAACUGUCAAUCU
RNAcentral lists this ribosomal RNA (564 nucleotides) under uncultured bacterium. Its description in RNAcentral is "bacterial SSU rRNA". It matches the Rfam family "Bacterial small subunit ribosomal RNA", at positions 65 to 642 of the family's 1533-position model. The record is from RNAcentral.